CAAGAACAAACACACCUGAGAGACACGAGAGGACACGGAUCUGCUCCGCAACCAACGCAGUGUGUUUCUGAAGAGGACAGAGUAACAGCAGAACGAGAAACUCCACGUGAGCCGACAGUGAGUACAGACACACACAGACUUUCACUAAAACAUUAUAAUGCUUAACAGAUCAACAGUAUGUAUUUUACAUCAAAUAUGAAUAUUUAUGAAAUAUGUACAUCAGUUUCAUGACUACUGUAAUGUAUAUGAAGUAAUAAUGAUGUAAUGUUAUAAUGUUUGUUAAUGAGACACACACA
This 296-nucleotide long non-coding RNA is filed under the name Sinocyclocheilus grahami. Its description in RNAcentral is "lncRNA (ENSSGRG00000035240.1)". Lineage: Eukaryota; Metazoa; Chordata; Actinopteri; Cypriniformes; Cyprinidae. The record is from RNAcentral.